CCCUUAGAUGUUCUGGGCCGCACGCGCGCUACACUGACUGGUGCAACAAGUGUCUGACCUUGGCUCGAGAGGCCUGGGCAACCUUUGAACGCCAGUCGUGCUUGGGAUAGACCUUUGCAACUAUUAAUCUUCAACGAGGAAUACCUAGUAGGCGUGUGUCAUCAGCGCACGUCGAUUACGUCCCUGCCCUUUGUACACACCGCCCGUCGCUCCUACCGAUUGAAUGGUCCGGUGAAAUCUUCGGAUCUGAGAGAUGUCUGAUUAAUUUCGGACGCCUUUUGGAAAAGUUGCUUAAACCUUACCAUUUAGAGGAAGGUGAANUCGUANCA
RNAcentral lists this ribosomal RNA (329 nucleotides) under uncultured eukaryote. Its description in RNAcentral is "partial 18S ribosomal RNA". It matches the Rfam family "Eukaryotic small subunit ribosomal RNA", at positions 1470 to 1796 of the family's 1831-position model. The record is from RNAcentral.